CCAGCUCGGCCCCGCCCCCACCGGCGCGCCACGCGACCUCACCCAACUGCAGCGGCGGAGAAUCGGGUCCAACUGCGAGCGCUAGCACCCGAAGUCAUUCCACCUGCUCACCUGUCGCUUCUUCAUCAAAACAAGCAAAAGCAUUUCUGAUGACAUCUUCUGGAUCUGUGC
Molecule: long non-coding RNA, 171 nt
Organism: Alligator mississippiensis (American alligator)
Lineage: Eukaryota; Metazoa; Chordata; Crocodylia; Alligatoridae
Exons: 2
Source: RefSeq, a predicted model, not a curated record